ACAUGGCAUCAUGGACGUCCUGUAAUUUGUUACAAAACAGACGCUGAACAUUGGACCCUCAAACACACACACACACACACACACACACACACACACACACACACACACACACUCAGAUGAGUUACAAAAGCGGUGAACUUUGGAAGAAAGUGAAGCCUCUGCGUCCUCUGUUUGCGUACAUGUCACUUUCUAGGAAAAGCCUGAGAUAUUUAUAGCUGGCGAGAGACUCUACACAACCUCUCGUUUGUCUUUAAGCGUGUUCAGGAGCAGAUAGGAAUCUUCACGGCGUGUAAUGUUCUUCAUCGUCCUGGAUCCUGACGGCAGAGGGAACAGAUCCUCGGAUCACCUCGGAUCACCUCAGGAAGCAGCUAUUUCCGCCACUUGUGUAUAAAAUAAACACGGGGAGAAUGUUUACGGGGAACUGCUUUGUCACGCUCUCCUGCAAAAAUGUAGAAAAAAAUCGAAGUAUCAGGCCCGUUGUGAGAAAAACUGUAAUCAAGCUUUAACGCUAAUAAUGGCUGAGAUUUCCCGAGGCUUAUAAUAAAACCUCUGUAAAAGUCGAGACAAGUUCUGUUCUUCUCCCCCGAAAACAGCAGGACACCGGGACGGAUACGAAAUGUCAGGAUGUGAUCUCGGAGUUUCCCCAAUGCCUUUUCCAUCGCACCGCUCCAGAACUUGUGGGAGACCCGUGGUGAAGGUUCUGGUCUACUGCUCUGAAGGUCGUGAUGAGAAAAACUUCCGCUGUUGGACCCUUAAUCAAGACCUUUAACAUCCUCCGCUCCUCCGCUCUCGUCCAGCAGGAAUGAACUUCACGGUAUGAUGGCUGACUUUCUGUCUUCUCGUCUUCUGAACACGGUGAAGACCGUUGGCGCCACUUCAGUGGAAUGUUUCAGCAGAUGGGAGGAUUUGUUCUUUUAUUACUUUCCCUUCACCGAGUUCUCGUUUAACAGAACUCGUCUUUCAAUCCCCAGAGUUUUUUGGGGCGCAGCCCGAGAGCUCCAGUGUUGAAAUUGUUAUUACGUUUAAUGUGUCUCGAUUCACACGGUUUACAGCAAACUACAAAAAUGUCGAUAAGGAAAACAAGCGACUUAUAAAAUUAGCCGCUAAGUGUUUUACGCUCUCCGCUUGUGCUCCUAGACAUGCUUAACCCUAGCAGCUAAUAACCCAAAAUGGCCGAUUUAAAUCACAGCGACACGGAGCGCGCGAUAAACAUAGCAUAAAGCUAAAUCAUCCGCCCGAGGAGAGCGAGUCUGCGUCCUAUAGGCUGCGUUUAAAGGCAUGAAGACAAACUUUUGUGAGUAAAUUUACAUAAAAGUCCGGUUGAUAGGCUGCAGAUCCGGCAGACCGAGUGCGCGCACGCUGUGCAGGUUAAACGAGUGAAAAAUGGGCCAUUAAGUCCAAAAACAAAGGCGCAAACUGCAGCAGGAUGUAAAAACUCCAUCACAAGAGCUGUUUAUAAGCUCUAUAAACUUUAUAAAACAUCACCCAUCGCUACUACGGCAGAGUCCAAGGCUUUAACCGGCCUCUGUUUAUCAAAUCAGCGCUACGCUGCAAGAAAUAAAUCUGUAAAAUAGCAGAAAAUAUAUAUACGGUCGGAAAAGAGGUGGAAAGAGCGAGAGAAGGAGGUACUCCGAGGAGGGGAAAAAGACUUGGACAGACAUAGAGAAGGAGACAAUAGGAGAGAUAGAGACAAGGAAGACAGAGAGAACCGAGUGAUGAUGAGAACCAACGCAACCACGAGAGACGAAACAACAAGACGCGAGCUCCGACUUCAGCAAAUAAUUUCAUUGCUUUCGGAUCGAGUUAGCUGGCAUGUUUUAGAAUAAAUGAAACUUUUUUGAGAACAAAGUGGGCAAGUCAGUCUGAGAAACUAAAGUCAGUAGACAAAAUGGAGGAAGAUGCUAGCUAGCUAGCAAGCUAACCGGCAACAGCGCGACUGAAAUGGAGUCUCAGAUCUAAACCAGGACGAAACUAUAAAAAAGCACAGCAAAAAGAGAAGGGGAGCAAAAACAAAGAUGAGAAAAGGAAAGAAACAAAAACUAUACAGGGGUAUCGAGAUUUUUAUUUCAAGAAGAGCUGAACUUGUGGUGGCUGAGUGGUUAAAAGCUCUGGGUUACUGCGCAGAUCAGAAGGUCAGGAGUUUGAGCCCCAGCACUGCCAAGCUACCACUGUUGGGCCCUUGGGCAAGGCCCUUAACCCUCUCUGCUCAGCUGUAUAAAUGAGUUGGAAAAAUAGACCCAAAACAACAACAACCACCACCAGAUGGAUGGAGUCUAGAUAGUCUGGUGAUCCACUACCCAGAGGACAGGAGCAGUGAAGCAGGGAGGAAAAAACAACUAAACAAGCUGCUGAGAGAUCACCCGAGACCCCCCGAGACCCCCCGAGACACCCGAGACUCCCCGAGACCCCCCGAGACCCCCCGAGACUCCCCGAGACACCCCGAGCAGACUUUAAAAGGCACGGUGAAAGAGCAGUAACGACAGACGUUUACGCUCGAAAACCUCGAAAAUCUACAUCACUUCAUACUGUGAAAGAGGGAGAAUACUUUUUGUGACUGUGACAAUAUUACUAUCAUCAUACUAGCUUUAUAAUAAUCAGCUAAGAAAAACAUGUUGUUUAGCUAUAAAACAGCUAUUUAUGCGAUCACUUUCGGUUAUGCUGUAGCUAGCUAACAAUGUUUUAUUAAAAUACAUAAUGCAUAGUCAAACCUAGCUAAGUUAUUAUUGCUAAGUGGCUGAUUAGCAAGUUUACAUGUCUUACGUAGAAUCAGUUUUCACUGCCCAGAGCCUUAUGUUGUUGCGUUAUCAAUAUGCUAGCUGCGUUCUCUAUAUCACAGCUCUUGCGUGGGUCAGUGUAUGCUAAUCUCACAAACUAGUAGCUAAUUACUAGCUACUACUACUACUACUACUACUACUACUACUAGCCACUAAGCUAGUAGACAUCAUUUUGUAUUUGAAUGUAAGUCAUCUUUGAUUAAAAACAACACAAAAGGAAUUGCUUUUAUUUUUUAAAAAUCAUUUAUUGAGGAAAAAAAUCAUACAUGAAUCCAAAACUGGAGACUCGCUCACGAUUACAUUGUUUUACUUUUUAAAAAAUCUUAAAUGAACUUCUACGUAAAGAAAAAGCACAGACAUGCUAACUUUUAGCUCCAGAAAUGAACUUCUUGAAUCUUUUAUCACAUGAUUAACCUGCUAGCUAUUUAUGUUCACGAGCUAGCCAGUUAGCUUUAUUUCAUACCUCAUGGAGAUGUUGGCGAGCAAGUUUCUCAGCAUGUUUCACUAAUUGACUCUAAUUGUAGCCCUUUGUUGUAAUGAUAGCUAGCUAGCUAGCUCAUGUAUUAGCACGAUAGCUGAUUUUAAUGAUUAUUUGUAACGAUCAAAAAUAAAAUUUCAGUCAGGUGUGUGAGCGACGAGGGCUAACAGCGCAACAUAUUAGCCAAGAGAGAAUUAACAACAUACGAUCUGUUUUUAUUUUCUUUUUUGCUACAAAAUUUUUAUAUAAAGCAAUGUUUCAUAAAGUUUACAACAAAAUAACAAAAAUAUAUUAAAAAAAAAAAAAACAACAGUAAAAGCAGCAGAUUCAGACUCAAAGUGACCACAGUACAAAACAAAUAAUAAAGUAAAAAUACUGUAAAAUUUUGUAAAAUGUCAAAUAAAAUACUGAAUAUUGUGUAAAAAAACAAAAAAAAAAACAAAA
Molecule: long non-coding RNA, 3696 nt
Organism: Ictalurus punctatus (channel catfish)
Lineage: Eukaryota; Metazoa; Chordata; Actinopteri; Siluriformes; Ictaluridae
Exons: 2
Source: RefSeq, a predicted model, not a curated record